RNAcentral lists this ribosomal RNA (253 nucleotides) under uncultured bacterium. RNAcentral describes it as "partial 16S ribosomal RNA". It matches the Rfam family "Bacterial small subunit ribosomal RNA", at positions 524 to 776 of the family's 1533-position model. The record is from RNAcentral.
GACAGAGGUGCCGAGCGUUAGGCGGAAUCACUGGGCUUAAAGCGUGUGUAGGUGGAUGCCUAAGUACCUUGUGAAAUCCCACGGCUUAACCGUGGAACUGCUUGGUAUACUGGGUGUCUUGAGCCAGCUAGGGGCUACCGGAACAAAUGGUGGAGCGGUGAAAUGCGCAGAUAUCAGGAGGAACACCGAUGGCGAAGGCAGCUCGCUGGGACGGUACUGACGCUGAGGCGCGAAAGCGUGGGGAGCAAACAGG